UGUACUAAAGUGUAGUUAUGCAUAAAAGUUUUUGGUGCUUUAGGAGCUUGAAAAUUCAAGCUAGUACAA
This 69-nucleotide transfer RNA is filed under the name Magallana nippona (Iwagaki oyster). RNAcentral describes it as "tRNA-Gln". The record is from RNAcentral. Lineage: Eukaryota; Metazoa; Mollusca; Bivalvia; Ostreida; Ostreidae.